ACUUUCAGCAGUGAGGAAGGUGGAUAUGUUAAUAGCAUAUUCAUUUGACGUUAGCUGCAGAAGAAGCACCGGCUAACUCCGUGCCAGCAGCCGCGGUAAUACGGAGGGUGCGAGCGUUAAUCGGAAUUACUGGGCGUAAAGCGCAUGCAGGUGGUUUGUUAAGUCAGAUGUGAAAGCCCGGGGCUCAACCUCGGAAUUGCAUUUGAAACUGGCAAACUAGAGUACUGUAGAGGGGGUAGAAUUUCAGGUGUAGCGGUGAAAUGCGUAGAGAUCUGAAGGAAUACCGGUGGCGAAGGCGGCCCCCCUGGACAGAUACUGACACUCAGAUGCGAAAGCGUGGGGAGCAAACAGGAUUAGAUACCCUGGUAG
RNAcentral lists this ribosomal RNA (369 nucleotides) under uncultured bacterium. Its description in RNAcentral is "bacterial SSU rRNA". It matches the Rfam family "Bacterial small subunit ribosomal RNA", at positions 432 to 793 of the family's 1533-position model. The record is from RNAcentral.